Drosophila pseudoobscura is the source of this 872-nucleotide long non-coding RNA. RefSeq lists it as uncharacterized. Lineage: Eukaryota; Metazoa; Arthropoda; Insecta; Diptera; Drosophilidae. The record is from RefSeq and is a predicted model, not a curated record. The transcript has 2 exons.
GGAGACGUCACCGAAGUAGCAGCUGCGCACGAUCUGCGGAUGUCCGACCACUGGAAUGGGAGCAAAAUGUUGAAUGUUGAUUACGGAUGAUAGACUGUCGACUGUACCUAAUUGUACUAAAGCAACCCCACUGAGCCCUCUGACGAGUCAAGACAAAACACUCUCAAGGCAUCGCAUUAAGUUAAGUAAAUUCCGAAAUUUUCCAGCUGACUGAUUAAGCGGUUUUCUCAUCGUUCCAAUCAAUUAAAUUUUGCUACGAAUUUUCCAAUUGGUUCGCCACAUGCAGUUCAUUUCUCUCAGCUAAGAGUUCUAUUCAUAAGUUGGUCAAACUGAAAUAUGAGCAUAGGAUGAUCACAAUAUUUACCACUGAAUAAUCUUUUGAUUCGUUUGCCUUGCAAAUAUAUUCAAAAAUGCAAAUUGAAAUUCACAGACAGAGAAUCUUGCGGCAUUCAUUCAUAGCACAAUCACGUCAUUAUUAUUAUUAUUUCCAUACAAAACCAAAUUAAGCUUCAACUUCAACGUAAUUACACGUAACAAACAGAGACCGAGAAACGUGAGAGACAAAUACACCUAAAGAAAGAGCAUGAAAGCAACAACAGAAAUACCCGUAUUUACGCAUGACAUCAGAAACUGAAAACCUGAACCGAUUUCCUCUGAUGAUCUCAACAUAUUUGGGUGAACUUUUAAGGGUUUCGGCUUAAGGGCUAAGUUUGGGGAUGGUUUGACUUACCGCUUUCGAGGGUCUUCUUCAUGCAUCCGGUGGCGUUGCGGAGGGGGAAGAAGUUCUGCAGGUAGCGCGGGGGUCCGAUCCGGGCACAGUCGAUAAGGAGACUCUCAUCUGCUUCGAACUUCAGGCCGCACUUGGGCAUGGU